This 447-nucleotide ribosomal RNA is filed under the name uncultured bacterium. RNAcentral's name for it is "bacterial SSU rRNA". It matches the Rfam family "Bacterial small subunit ribosomal RNA", at positions 355 to 825 of the family's 1533-position model. The record is from RNAcentral.
UGGGGAAUAUUGGACAAUGGGCGCAAGCCUGAUCCAGCCAUGCCGCGUGAGUGACGAAGGCCUUAGGGUUGUAAAGCUCUUUUGGCGGGGAAGAUAAUGACGGUACCUGCAGAAUAAGCCCCGGCUAACUUCGUGCCAGCAGCCGCGGUAAUACGAAGGGGGCUAGCGUUGUUCGGAAUUACUGGGCGUAAAGCGCACGUAGGCGGAUUGAUAAGUUAGAGGUGAAAUCCCGGGGCUCAACCUCGGAACUGCCUUUGAUACUGUUAGUCUCGAGUCCGAUAGAGGUGAGUGGAAUUCCUAGUGUAGAGGUGAAAUUCGUAGAUAUUAGGAAGAACACCAGUGGCGAAGGCGGCUCACUGGAUCGGUACUGACGCUGAGGUGCGAAAGCGUGGGGAGCAAACAGGAUUAGAUACCCAUGUAGUCCCUGAGCGGGCUGGCAAGGCGCAU